GCCCCCAUAGCUUAACCCUAAAGCAUGGCACUGAAGAUGCCAAGACGGUAACCCCACUACCUGAGGGC
Molecule: transfer RNA, 68 nt
Filed under: Ptilopachus petrosus
Lineage: Eukaryota; Metazoa; Chordata; Aves; Galliformes; Phasianidae
Description: tRNA-Phe
Rfam family: tRNA
About the family: Transfer RNA (tRNA) molecules are approximately 80 nucleotides in length. Their secondary structure includes four short double-helical elements and three loops (D, anti-codon, and T loops).
Source: RNAcentral